UAUCACUUUUAUUUAUUUCUGGAUUUUAUUUGCUAGAAUUUUUUUUUUAAUUUUACUGAAGUGUAGUUGAUUUACAAUCAAAGUUUUAGUUUUAAAAAUAGCCAAAUGUGAAGAAACAGCCAAAAGCCUGGGAACUGAAGGUGGAAAUAGACCAGGGUCUACACCUGCCCUUCAGUCACUGGAAACCAAAGGCCACGUGCAUUGCCCUCGUGGGCUCCAGGGGAGAUGAGGCCAUCACGCACAAUAGAGCUCUCAAGAUUUCCAAAGCUUCAGUCCUUCCGCUUAAACACAAGCAACCUCUGCCACCACCAUCCCCCCACGGGCAAGAGGACCCAGACAGACACUGAGGAGCAUGCGUUUGACACCCAGACACGAUCUGAAACAGGUAUUUUCCUAUGCUGGCUGCUGAUAUGUAGUUAAGUCCAAAGAGAGAGAGAGAGAGAGAACUAGCAAGUAAAGACAGCACUUAUAGACUGCAUGGAAGGAGCUGUGGGUUGAACCAUGUCCCCUCCAAAUUGAUACUUCCAAGGAAGACCCCCGGCGCCUUGUUUGGACGUAGAGUCCUUGCAGGUGUGGAUUAGUUAAAAUGAGGUCAUACUGGAGCAGGACGGGCCCCUGACCCAAUGACUAGCGUCCUCGUGACAAAGGGAGACUGGGACAGACACGCACACAGGGAGAAGGUGGUGUGAGUGUGAGCACAGGGAUCAAACAACGCCUCUAUGGCCAAGGAACAGCAAAGAUGGCCAGUAAGUCUCCAGGAAUGAGUCAGGGGCCUCAGACAGGUUCUCCCUCACGUUCUCAGAAGGAACCAACCCUGCCCACAACCUGAUCUCAGACUUCUGACCCUCAGAUCAAUGAGAUGAUGAACUUGUGUUGUCUCAGCACAGCCCUAGCUGUCUCAUCAUCGCAGCCCUAGCCCUCAUGGACUCAUACAGAAGGGCCCUGGACUGAACGUGACCUCUUGAGCCAGUGCUGGGGCUCCCGUGAGGCUGAUCUGAAACCAUAGAAGCCUUUUGCACAUCAGCAGAACCAGGACCUGGGGAGACCUGCUGGUAGACCACAGGCCUGAUAAUCUCACUAUGCUCAACACACCUCUGCCUGUACCCCAUCUCCAGUCCACACCUGCAACUCCCACCUACUGGACAAGCAAAGGCAGAUCCCCGACAUUGGUGCCAGGACUUCUGCCAUCCCUUGUGCCCAUGGCAGAUGCUGCUAAUUCAUUAAGACGCUCUCCUGCUGAAAACAGAGCCUCAGAGUCUUUCUCAACCUAGGGACCCUAGAAGCCACCGAAAGGCAUCUAUUAGAGUUGGCAUGAUAGUUGAAACCAAUUUAGGAUUCCCAUUCUAGGUAGUGACUCUGUGAGGUCAAGACCGGUAUCCUUUGCUCCUCCAAACAUCUUGUAUCACUUGGCACAGCGCCUCAUAACCUACAGGCACUAGGCCGUACUUGUUGAAUGGAUAUGUUCUUGCAUUUGGGCUCAUAUGGGACGAGAGUGACAGCAAGAGCAAUUCUCAUACACUUUGCAAAUUACCAUUUUAAAAGGAUUUUCUGGAUGACUUUUUAUGACGGUUUAGGGACAGCACUGACCUUCACCAUCAACAUUUAUUUAUUCAACAACUAUUAACUGAGCACUGCUACACGCCCAGCCUGGCCCAAGUUUGGAUUCAAGAGUGGGAAGGCAAAAACCACUACAAUAUUGUAAAGUAAUUAGCCUCCAACUAAUAAAAAUAAAUGAAAAAAAAUAAUAAAAUCACUUUCCAUUGGGGGAAAAAAAAAAAGAGUGGGAAGGGGAUGUUGAACAAUGCAGAUCCCAAGAAACUACAGAAAAGCACCAUGAAUAAUUGACACGAACUCCCUGAAAUUCACAAGGAUGAAUAUGAAUUCCCAACACUGUCAAUCUGACAUACUGAGCAUCGAGAUGCUCUUAAAUGGAAAGUCCUUCCAAUCCCCCUGCCACUCAUGGCGCUGCCUCCCCCUGUGAUGGUACAGACAGGACCACAAGUAGCUCCUAAACCCUAAACACAGGAGUGGGUUUAGAGGCCAAGAUCAACCUGCUCUUUGAACACAUUUCUGAUCCCAAGUAAUUCAUCUCCAUUAACAUUAAUUACAGGGCAAAGCAUGGGCUUGGGGCUAAGAGAUCUCAUGGAAGUGUGUCUUCAUGUUCAUGGGUGAUCACCUAAUGAGAACAUUUGUUUGGGGGAAACAGUGACUUUGGAACUUCAGGAGCAACUUCUGAUCCUCCGUGGCAUUAGGAAGACACCACCCAGUGAGGAAAGGAGGAGGCGCCCACAUGAGGGCUGACCUACCUGUCU
This is a long non-coding RNA of Cervus elaphus (red deer), 2312 nucleotides long. RefSeq lists it as uncharacterized. The record is from RefSeq and is a predicted model, not a curated record. Lineage: Eukaryota; Metazoa; Chordata; Mammalia; Artiodactyla; Cervidae. The transcript is spliced from 3 exons.